Molecule: ribosomal RNA, 497 nt
Filed under: uncultured bacterium
Lineage: Bacteria
Description: partial 16S ribosomal RNA
Rfam family: Bacterial small subunit ribosomal RNA
Source: RNAcentral
GAUGAACGCUGGCGGCGUGCCUAAUACAUGCAAGUCGAGCGAACAGACGAGGAGCUUGCUCCUCUGACGUUAGCGGCGGACGGGGGAGUAACACGUGGAUAACCUACCUAUAAGACUGGGAUAACUUCGGGAAACCGGAGCUAAUACCGGAUAACAUGUUGAACCGCAUGGUUCAACAGUGAAAGACGGUCUUGCUGUCACUUAUAGAUGGAUCCGCGCCGCAUUAGCUAGUUGGUAAGGUAACGGCUUACCAAGGCAACGAUGCGUAGCCGACCUGAGAGGGUGAUCCGCCCCACUGGAACUGCGACACGGUCCAGACUCCUAAGGGAGGCAGCAGUAGGGAAUAUUCCGCAACGGGCGAAAGCCUGACGGAGCCACCCCGCGUGAGUGAAGAAGGUCUUCGGAUCGCAAAACUCUGUUAUUAGGGAAGAACAAAUGUGUAAGUAACUAUGCACGUCUUGACGGUACCUAAUCAGAAAGCCACGGCUAACUACGUG